UGUAGCUCUCUGCAUGUGGAAGAUGCAGUAAAGUAGUCCCAGGAAGACUAUGGGGGAGAGUGGAGCUUCAAGGUGGAGGAAAGACCUGAUGAGUAGGGAGAGAUGUGAUAAAGAUGGAGAAAGCUGGAUCAUCUGUUAUGAUCUCUGCGUGUGUAACACAGGAUAAUUCAUGAUUUGAAACAUGCAUCCUUGGGCUCUGGUAUUCUUCUGAUUCUGAGAGUUGGAACUCAUGUGGCUUCUUGAUGCAUCAGUUCCCUGAACUCCCUCAAAAAGUAUUUAAUCUCUGG
Molecule: long non-coding RNA, 287 nt
Filed under: Mus spicilegus (steppe mouse)
Lineage: Eukaryota; Metazoa; Chordata; Mammalia; Rodentia; Muridae
Description: lncRNA (ENSMSIG00000031787.1)
Source: RNAcentral